RNAcentral lists this ribosomal RNA (709 nucleotides) under uncultured bacterium. RNAcentral describes it as "bacterial SSU rRNA". It matches the Rfam family "Bacterial small subunit ribosomal RNA", at positions 471 to 1184 of the family's 1533-position model. The record is from RNAcentral.
GGCCAUCUGUGCCUAACAGCCGCCUGGCCGCGGGAUUAGCAGCCGCGGUAAUACGGAGGAUCCAAGCGUUAUCCGGAAUCAUUGGGUUAAAGGGUCCGUAGGCGGGAUUAUAAGUCAGUGGUGAAAGUCUGCAGCUUAACUGUAGAACUGCCAUUGAUACUGUAGUUCUUGAAUUAGUAUGAAGUGGUUAGAAUGUGUAGUGUAGCGGUGAAAUGCAUAGAUAUUACACAGGAUACCGAUUGCGAAGGCAGAUCACUAAUACUAUAUUGACGCUGAUGGACGAAAGCGUAGGUAGCGAACAGGAUUAGAUACCCUGGUAGUCUACGCCGUAAACGAUGGUCACUAGCUGUCCGGCCUAAUUGAGGGCUGGGUGGUUAAGCGAAAGUGAUAAGUGACCCACCUGGGGAGUACGUUCGCAAGAAUGAAACUCAAAGGAAUUGACGGGGGCCCGCACAAGCGGUGGAGCAUGUGGUUUAAUUCGAUGAUACGCGAGGAACCUUACCAGGGCUUAAAUGCAGUUUGACAGGGAUGGAAACAUCCUUUCCUUCGGGCAAAUUGCAAGGUGCUGCAUGGUUGUCGUCAGCUCGUGCCGUGAGGUGUCAGGUUAAGUCCUAUAACGAGCGCAACCCCUUUUGUUAGUUGCCAGCACGUAAUGGUGGGAACUCUAGCAAGACUGCCGGUGCAAACCGCGAGGAAGGUGGGGAUGACG